CUAUACAUGACUCUGCGCAUAUCAAUAAGCGGAGGAAAAGAAACUAACAAGGAUUCCCCUAGUAACGGCGAGUGAAGCGGGAAGGAGCUCAAAUUUGAAAUCUUAAAGGGUUUCCCUUUACGAAUUGUAGUUUAAAGAAGUGUUUUCUGUUGAGGUUUUGGUAAAAGUUCUUUGGAAUAGGACAUCAUAGAGGGUGAGAAUCCCGUAUUUGACCUUUACUUUCAACUUUGUGAUACACUUUCAAAGAGUCGGAUUGUUUGGGAAUGCAGUCCAAAAUGGGUGGUAAAUUUCAUCUAAAGCUAAAUAUUGGCGAGAGACCGAUAGCGAACAAGUACCGUGAGGGAAAGAUGAAAAGAACUUUGAAAAGAGAGUUAGACAGUACGUGAAAUUGUCAAAAGGGAAGCGUUUGACACCAGUGUUGUUUUUCUGAAAAUCAAUUAAAGAACUGUUUAUGCUAAGUUGUUUAGACUUUAUCAGCUAACUGUUUAGUUUUGAGCUUUUCUUUAAUGCACUCUUCAGUUAACAAGUCAACAUCAGUUUCUUUUGCUGUAAAAAAGCUUGAGGAAGGUGGCUUGAGAUUCGUCUUAAGUGUUUAUAGCCUCUUGCCUAUGCAGUCGGAGAGAUUGAGGUCUGCAGCGUAGAUCCUUCGGGGCUAAAUGCAUUUGUGCUAAGUUAUAGCAUUUUAUAGACAACUUGUUGACUAUGAUUUGUCUUGUAGCUUACUCGCUUAUGUUAUUUUACCUACGCUUAGGAUGUUGACAGCAGUAUAGACUGU
This 775-nucleotide ribosomal RNA is filed under the name uncultured Neocallimastigales. RNAcentral's name for it is "partial large subunit ribosomal RNA". It matches the Rfam family "Eukaryotic large subunit ribosomal RNA", at positions 22 to 637 of the family's 3401-position model. Lineage: Eukaryota; Fungi; Neocallimastigomycota; Neocallimastigomycetes; Neocallimastigales. The record is from RNAcentral.